UCCACGCCCUAAACGAUGUCAACUGGUUGUUGGGUCUUCACUGACUCAGUAACGAAGCUAACGCGUGAAGUUGACCGCCUGGGGAGUACGGCCGCAAGGUUAAAACUCAAAGGAAUUGACGGGGACCCGCACAAGCGGUGGAUGAUGUGGUUUAAUUCGAUGCAACGCGAAAAACCUUACCCACCUUUGACAUGUACGGAAGAUCGCAGAGACGCGAUUGUGCUCGAAAGAGAACCGUAACACAGGUGCUGCAUGGCUGUCGUCAGCUCGUGUCGUGAGAUGUUGGGUUAAGUCCCGCAACGAGCGCAACCCUUGCCAUUAGUUGCUACAUUCAGUUGGGCACUCUAAUGGGACUGCCGGUGACAAACCGGAGGAAGGUGGGGAUGACGUCAAGUCCUCAUGGCCCUUAUAGGUGGGGCUACACACGUCAUACAAUGGCUGGUACAAAGGGUUGCCAACCCGCGAGGGGGAGCUAAUCCCAUAAA
RNAcentral lists this ribosomal RNA (485 nucleotides) under uncultured bacterium. RNAcentral's name for it is "bacterial SSU rRNA". It matches the Rfam family "Bacterial small subunit ribosomal RNA", at positions 794 to 1280 of the family's 1533-position model. The record is from RNAcentral.